This is a small nuclear RNA of Cryptotermes secundus, 119 nucleotides long. RefSeq annotates it as U5 spliceosomal RNA. The transcript has a single exon. The record is from RefSeq and is a predicted model, not a curated record. NCBI's taxonomy places the organism in Eukaryota, Metazoa, Arthropoda, Insecta, Blattodea, Kalotermitidae.
AAUUUCUGUUCAUUAUAUCAGUACAUAUAAAUCUUUUGCCUUUUACUAAAGAUUUCUGUGGAGGGAACAUAUGAUGAGUCUUUAAAUAAUUUUUUGUUGUAUGUUAAAGCUGCCAGUCA